RNAcentral lists this ribosomal RNA (269 nucleotides) under uncultured archaeon. RNAcentral's name for it is "partial 16S ribosomal RNA". It matches the Rfam family "Archaeal small subunit ribosomal RNA", at positions 478 to 747 of the family's 1478-position model. The record is from RNAcentral.
AGCCCCCUGAGUGGUAGGGAUGAUUAUUUGGCCUAAAGCGUCCGUAGCCGGCUUAGCAAGUCUUUCGUUAAAUCCGGUGACUUAAUCAUCGGUCUGCGAGAGAUACUACUAGACUUGAGGGCGGGAGAGGUCGACGGUAUUCCGGGGGUAGGGGUAAAAUCCUAUAAUCCUCGGAGGACCACCAGUGGCGAAGGCGGUCGACUAGAACGUGCCUGACGGUGAUGGACGAAAGCUGGGGGAGCAAACCGGAUUAGAUACCCGAGUAGUCC